CAGGGGGUGCAAGCGUUGCUCGGAAUCACUGGGCGUAAAGCGUACGCAGGCGGACCGUUAAGUCGGGUGUGAAAGCCCGGGGCUCAACCCCGGAACUGCAUUCGAUACUGGCGGUCUUGAAUACGGGAGAGGUGAGUGGAAUUCCUGGUGUAGAGGUGAAAUUCGUAGAUAUCAGGAGGAACACCGGUGGCGAAAGCGGCUCACUGGCCCGAUAUUGACGCUCAUGUACGAAAGCGUGGUGAGCAAACAGGAUUAGAUACCCUGGUAGUCCACGCUGUAAACGAUGAGUGCUAGCUGCUGGAGAUCCUUUUAUUUCUUCGGUGGCGUAGCCAACGCGUUAAGCACUCCGCCUGGGAAGUACGGCCGCAAGGCUA
This 374-nucleotide ribosomal RNA is filed under the name uncultured organism. RNAcentral describes it as "bacterial SSU rRNA". It matches the Rfam family "Bacterial small subunit ribosomal RNA", at positions 526 to 896 of the family's 1533-position model. The record is from RNAcentral.